This 257-nucleotide ribosomal RNA is filed under the name uncultured bacterium. Its description in RNAcentral is "partial 16S ribosomal RNA". It matches the Rfam family "Bacterial small subunit ribosomal RNA", at positions 524 to 777 of the family's 1533-position model. The record is from RNAcentral.
UACAGGAGGGUGCAAGCGUAAUCGGAAUUACUGGGCGUAAAGCGUGCGUAGUCGGUUAUCUAAGUCGGGUGUGAAAUCCCCGGGCUCAACCUGGGAACUGCGUCCGAUACUGGCAGGCUUGAAUUCGGGAGAGGGAUGUGGAAUUCCGAGGUGUAGCGGUGAAAUGCGUAGAUAUCUGGAGGAACACCGGUGGCGAAGGCGGCGAUCCUGGACCGAUAUUGACGCUGAGUGCGCGAAAGCCAGGGGAGCAAAGCGGG